RNAcentral lists this ribosomal RNA (264 nucleotides) under uncultured Staphylococcus sp. RNAcentral's name for it is "partial 16S ribosomal RNA". It matches the Rfam family "Bacterial small subunit ribosomal RNA", at positions 505 to 768 of the family's 1533-position model. The record is from RNAcentral. Lineage: Bacteria; Bacillati; Bacillota; Bacilli; Caryophanales; Staphylococcaceae.
GUGCCAGCCGCCGCGGUAAUACGUAGGUGGCAAGCGUUAUCCGGAAUUAUUGGGCGUAAAGCGCGCGUAGGCAGUUUUUUAAGUCUGAUGUGAAAGCCCACGGCUCAACCGUGGAGGGUCAUUGGAAACUGGAAAACUUGAGUGCAGAAGAGGAAAGUGGAAUUCCAUGUGUAGCGGUGAAAUGCGCAGAGAUAUGGAGGAACACCAGUGGCGAAGGCGACUUUCUGGUCUGUAACUGACGCUGAUGUGCGAAAGCGUGGGGAU